RNAcentral lists this unclassified non-coding RNA (527 nucleotides) under Hevea brasiliensis (rubber tree). Lineage: Eukaryota; Viridiplantae; Streptophyta; Magnoliopsida; Malpighiales; Euphorbiaceae. The record is from RNAcentral.
UAUUUUCAACAUCAAUAUCAAACAUAUUCUAAUUGUUUCCAUUAAGAAACAUCCGCAUGAUUGCUUUCCUAGCGAACCGGCGAUGGAUGUGACACUCUACCGAAAUCCCAGCAAUUAUCAAAUGUCUCCAAAGAAAGAGGGACACUAUCAUCGAAUGCACGGAAUAAAAGAACAUGCUUGCAGUUUGCAACAGUAGAAUGCUACCAGUCUAUUGAGUAUUGAUUUGGUGGGAUGUGAGCUUUUUAGUGAAAGCUAUCAUUAACUGAAGCAUGCCAAAACAGGUGGAGAGCUACCUUGGGCAUCAUCUAGAAGCACUGUGCCCCACCGUAUCAUCAUGAGACCCUAACGAAUCGUGUACCUAGGCUAAGACACUAUGCUGAUCAACACAUCAACUGUGUGAGUCAUAUUAUAGGUGUCAUCCACGCUGUCUCCCACCUUUCUAUAAGGGUUGGUGGAUUUCCCAAGCCAGGAUUCAAGAGGACAACCUACCAGGGAAAUUGCCAGUCAUCUCAAGCACUAGAGAAAAA